UACGUAUAGUGCAAGCGUUAUCCGGAUUUACUGGGCGUAAAGGGAGCGCAGGCGGCGCGCCAAGUCUGAUGUGAAACCCCGGGGCUCAACCCCGGGCAUGCAUUGGAAACUGGCGGGCUGGAGUGCCGGAGAGGUAAGCGGAAUUCCUAGUGUAGCGGUGAAAUGCGUAGAUAUUAGGAGGAGCACCAGUGGCGAAGGCGGCUUACUGGACGGCAACUGACGCUGAGGCUCGAAAGCGUGGGGAGCAAACAGG
This 253-nucleotide ribosomal RNA is filed under the name uncultured bacterium. RNAcentral's name for it is "partial 16S ribosomal RNA". It matches the Rfam family "Bacterial small subunit ribosomal RNA", at positions 524 to 776 of the family's 1533-position model. The record is from RNAcentral.